This 300-nucleotide ribosomal RNA is filed under the name uncultured Kitasatospora sp. Its description in RNAcentral is "bacterial SSU rRNA". It matches the Rfam family "Bacterial small subunit ribosomal RNA", at positions 496 to 795 of the family's 1533-position model. The record is from RNAcentral. Lineage: Bacteria; Bacillati; Actinomycetota; Actinomycetes; Kitasatosporales; Streptomycetaceae.
GCUACAUGCGGGCCAGUAGGUCGGGGAAUGCGGAGGGGGGGAGGGUGAAGCGGAUGUACGGGGCGUAAAGGGGGCGCAGGCGGCCGCGCAAGUCGAGUGUGAAAGCCCCGGGCUUAACUUGGGAAUUGCGCUCGAAACUACGUGGCUGGAGUGUGGCAGAGGAAGGUGGAAUUCCACGUGUAGCGGUGAAAUGCGUAGAGAUGUGGAGGAACACCAAUGGCGAAGGCAGCCUUCUGGGCCAACACUGACGCUCAUGCACGAAAGCGUGGGGAGCAAACAGGAUUAGAUACCCCAGUAGUC